GGUAUUGCUCUAAUCUCUUUUAUUUGGCUUGGGCAGUGGGUAUGUAUGAAGAUUGGCUUAAAUUGGCUUUGGGUUUUGUUGGAUUGAAGUUUAAUUUCGAAUUGGCAGUGGGUUUAUUUGAAUUGAAGUUUGGGCAGUUGGUUUAUUGAGUUGGGCAGUGGGUUUAUUGAAUUGGCAGUGGGUAUUUCUUAGUAUUUUGUUGAAUUGGGCAGUGGGUUUAUUGAAUUGGGCAGUUGAUUUAUUUGAAUUGAAGUUUGAUUUAUGUUUUUUAUUUGAAUUGGCAGCCAUGAAUACUACAAAUUCUAGUUCUACAUCUUCUUCUACCACAUCCCCUGUUAUUGGUGAUUUUCGAAAAUCAUUGUGGAGAUAUGUUAAACGACAUGGUAACAUAGGAGGUGGUGGCGGUGGAGUUUAUUGGGAAUGCAAUUUUUGUGGAGUAAGGAAGAAGACAACAUAUACUCGAGUUAUGUAUCAUUUGAUGAAGAUACGUAAUAAAGGGAUAGCUAUUUGCCCGAAAGUAACUGAAGCAGAUUUGAUGGAAAUGCAGAAGUUAAUAGAUGAAGAAGUGAGAAUGUUGACUACUAGUGCUCCUAAAUCAGUUCCGCUGCCGCCUACGCAGCCCCUAGCUCACUCAAAUGAGCUCUAUACAAGUUACAUGACGAAGAAAAGAAAGGGGAGUGAAGGGAGCUCAUCGACUCUUGAGAAGGCAUUCAAUGUCCAAGGUAAGAGGACGUUGGAUGCUAUGAUUGCAAGAUUGUUCUAUUCUUCGGGUUUGCCAUUUCAUUUGGCAAGAAACUCUUACUACAGGAGCAGCUACACUUAUGCAACAACCAACAAUUUGGCUGGUUAUGUGCCACCUGGGUACAAUACUUUGAGGACGCAUUUACUUGAGCAGGAGAGAGCAAAUGUUGAGCGUCUGUUGGAGCCGAUCAAGACAACAUGGGCUGAGAAAGGGAUAAGUAUUGUGAGUGAUGGAUGGAGUGAUUCACAAAGAAGGCCACUGAUCAAUUUCAUGGCUGUCACUGAGAGUGGGCCUAUGUUUUUGAAGGCCGUGGAUUUUUCUGGGGAGGUUAAAGAUAAAUUCUUUAUCUUUAACCUCAUGAAGGAGGUGAUUGAAGAUGUUGGACCUCAAAAUGUGGUUCAAGAAUGCGAAAAAUUGUCAAGCAGCUGGGCUCCUUGUUGAAGGAACAUAUCCUAAGAUUGUGUGGACACCAUGUGUUGUGCAUACGCUCAACUUGGCACUUCAGAACAUAUGCGCCGCAAAGAACGUUUAAAACAAUCAAGAGACAUAUGGAUUGUGUUCUUGGAUAUCUGAUGUUUCUUCAGAUGCUAACAUGAUCAAGAACUUCAUCAUGAAUCAUGGAAUGCGCUUGGUAAUGUUCAACAAAUUUGUUCCUUUGAAGUUGCUUUCGAUUGCUGCAACUCGAUUUGCUUCAGUUAUUGUGAUGUUGAAGCGUCUCAAGCUUAUCAAGAGAUGUUUACUUGAGUUGGUAAUUAGUGAGCAAUGGGAAGCAUAUCGAGAGGAUGAUGUUGAGAAGGCGAGCAAUGUUAAAAUGAAAGUAUUAGAUGACACUUGGUGGGAUAAGGUUGACUAUAUACUUUCAUUUACGGCUCCUUUGUAUGAGAUGCUUCGUGCUUGUGACACAGACAAGCCAUGUCUUCACUUAGUCUAUGACAUGUGGGAUACUAUGAUUGAGAAGGUAAAGCAGGCGAUCUACAAGCAUGAAAGACUUCAACCAGAGCAGACAAGCAACUUCUAUGAUGUUGUUCAUACGAUCUUAGUUAGUCGUUGGAACAAAAACAACACACCCCUUCAUUGUUUGGCUCAUUCCCUCAAUCCGAGAUAUUAUAGCCACGAAUGGCUUUCAGAGGACUCCUCCCGAGUUGCACCACAUAGGGAUCCAGAAGUUGCCAAGGAAAGAAUCAACUGUUUGAAGAAAUACUUUCCUCUCAUGUCUGAGAGAAGAGUUGUAGCACAGGAGUUUGCUAACUUCUCUAGCAUGGCUGGUGAUUUUUCUGACUCUGAUUCGAUUGCACAAUGUUAUGAUAUGGAUCUCAAGAGUUGGUGGGUUACAUAUGGCACAAGUGCACCUGCACUUCAAUGUUUAGCAUUGAAGUUACUUGUGCAACCCUCAUCCUCAUCAUGUGCUUAGAGGAAUUGGAGCACAUACUCGUUCAUCCACUCUUUGAG
RNA transcript from Salvia miltiorrhiza (redroot sage), 2191 nucleotides. RefSeq lists it as uncharacterized. NCBI's taxonomy places the organism in Eukaryota, Viridiplantae, Streptophyta, Magnoliopsida, Lamiales, Lamiaceae. The record is from RefSeq and is a predicted model, not a curated record. The transcript is spliced from 2 exons.